Molecule: long non-coding RNA, 1437 nt
Organism: Drosophila pseudoobscura
Lineage: Eukaryota; Metazoa; Arthropoda; Insecta; Diptera; Drosophilidae
Exons: 3
Source: RefSeq, a predicted model, not a curated record
CGUUUUAUUUUCACAGAUUUCUUUUCAUUGUAUUCCUCCACGAAAAUAUGGCCAUAAUUAAGCUCUGAAGCUCAAUGUUGACUUGACUUCUUUUCCCUUUUGUGGAGAAGAAAGAGAAGCUUAAGCAGGAAAGCGUUUGGAGUCGACUCUAUCAUGCCCAGUAAUCGGCUUGCCUCCCAAAAGUAUGCAACCCUUUAAACGUGUGAGAAAGCCAGGUGUUCAAGGAGCCAAACAAAAGAUAUUCUACAUCUAUAAGGUUCUUACAUUCCGUCGCUUUGGGAAAUCCCAUCUACAACCGUUCCAAUCAAUUCCAAAGGAUCUUAAUGACUUGACUCUCGUGUUAUCUGCAAAGCUAUUCAUAGGGGGUUUAACAGAGUUUACCGGGGCCUUAAGGCCUGCCACAACAGAGCCUCAAAAGACCCACAAAUUUAUUCCCUACGUUUGAGCACCAUAAGCAGAUGGCUUGAACCAUCUCAAUGGGGUUUAAGUUGCGUUUUGAAUUGCGUUCCAAAUAUUGAAACUAUGCGGAAAGUGGUUCCACAUUUCAUUUGUACUUGAGGUAUUCCUAUGUGGAAUAUCUACUGUUAAAAAAAGGAAGUUUAAACAUCUUAAAGCUUCCAAAAUGUGUCUGUUUCAAUUCAUGUUAAAACCCCACAAAACAGAGUUCCAUACUGCGAAAACUUUCCCAUUUUAUACUUACUUACUUUUCCACAAAAUGUUUUCCCAGUUGCAACAAUGUUGCCAAGUAUUUGGCACGGUAUUUUUUUUCAUUAAUUUCUCAAAUAGAACCUACAAUUAUUGACUGCAACGGUAUGGUUUUGGUUCUCUGGCCCACGCCCCGUCAAUUUCGUACGGUCGUCGCCCACUCAAAUCCUCUGCCCCGCCGUUCUGGACCUGAACCUGAACCUGAACCUGGACCAGGACCCAUCCGAAACUUUGGCGAAAUAAACAUUUUCCAACAAAAACUAAACCAAACCAAUGGCGACCACAUUGAAACAAAUAACGAAAGUAGCAGCAACAGCAACAACAACAGCGGCAACGGCAACACUGGUAAUAGUAGUAUCUGCAACAUCUGUUUGAACAAAUAACCAAAACACGAAAUUGGGGCAGAGCCUCCUUUUGCCUUAAUUUGUAUUUUUGGUGGCCACGAAAACCAUCCUCGCUCAUUCAGUAUUUUUGGAGCACCUCCUCCGUCCAGUAUUUUUGGGUAACUGCGCCCGCGAUUUCGUCUGUCAGAUGCUGGCACUUGAACGGUGUACCAGCUGUGUCUCCUAAUCCCCAAACCGAAGAUACUUGGACUGGAUGGAAUUGCACUAGUCUACAAGAGACUGAAUCAAAUUAUGGAUAGCCUGAAAAUUAAAUUAAAAAUUAACUUUAUUUAUUUAUUUUGAAAUGAAAUGCUUACAAAUUGUAUACUUAAUUUAUGGAAAGUUUUCA